Molecule: long non-coding RNA, 263 nt
Filed under: Manihot esculenta (cassava)
Lineage: Eukaryota; Viridiplantae; Streptophyta; Magnoliopsida; Malpighiales; Euphorbiaceae
Description: long non-coding RNA (MESC_LNC011906)
Source: RNAcentral
AAUCUGAACUCCGCAUUAUUGCCUGACUGAACAGUCCUGGCAAUUCUCACUAAUUCUUGAUCCUCAUGCUGCUUUUGAGCCACCUGCUCAAGAAGUACGGGUGUUACUCUCAUCUGUGCUAUCAAUGCUCCUGUUCCAGACAAUUCUAACUGUAGACCUUCAUCUAGGAGCCUAUACAACUCUGCCACCACCGGUCUCCUCUCUGCUGCUAUAUGAGAUAAACUGCCAAGUGACUUUCGGCUAAGGGCGUCUGCUACAACAUU